Molecule: ribosomal RNA, 492 nt
Filed under: uncultured bacterium
Lineage: Bacteria
Description: partial 16S ribosomal RNA
Rfam family: Bacterial small subunit ribosomal RNA
Source: RNAcentral
AGUGAACGCUGGCGGUAGGCCUAACACAUGCAAGUCGAACGGCAGCACAGUAAGAGCUUGCUCUUACGGGUGGCGAGUGGCGGACGGGUGAGGAAUACAUCGGAAUCUACUUUUUCGUGGGGGAUAACGUAGGGAAACUUACGCUAAUACCGCAUACGACCUACGGGUGAAAGCAGGGGAUCUUCGGACCUUGCGCGAUUGAAUGAGCCGAUGUCGGAUUAGCUAGUUGGCGGGGUAAAGGCCCACCAAGGCGACGAUCCGUAGCUGGUCUGAGAGGAUGAUCAGCCACACUGGAACUGAGACACGGUCCAGACUCCUACGGGAGGCAGCAGUGGGGAAUAUUGGACAAUGGGCGCAAGCCUGAUCCAGCCAGACCGAGUGGGUGAAGAAGGCCUUCGGGUUGUAAAGCCCUUUUGUUGGGAAAGAAAAGCAGCAGGUUAAUACCCCGCUGUUCUGACGGUACCCAAAGAAUAAGCACCGGCUAACUUCGUG